UGGGGAAUUUUGCGCAAUGGGCGAAAGCCUGACGCAGCAACGCCGCGUGAGUGAUGAAGGCCCUCGGGUCGUAAAGCUCUGUCAGAGGGGAAGAAACUUUUGAGGGAGAAUAUCCCUUGAAACUGACGGUACCCUCAAAGGAAGCACCGGCUAACUCCGUGCCAGCAGCCGCGGUAAUACGGAGGGUGCAAGCGUUGUUCGGAAUUAUUGGGCGUAAAGCGCGUGUAGGCGGCUAUUUAAGUCUGAUGUGAAAGCCCGGGGCUCAACCUCGGAAGUGCAUUGGAAACUGGAUAGCUUGAGUACGGGAGAGGGUAGUGGAAUUUCGAGUGUAGGGGUGAAAUCCGUAGAUAUUCGAAGGAACACCGGUGGCGAAGGCGGCUACCUGGACCGAUACUGACGC
Molecule: ribosomal RNA, 400 nt
Filed under: uncultured bacterium
Lineage: Bacteria
Description: bacterial SSU rRNA
Rfam family: Bacterial small subunit ribosomal RNA
Source: RNAcentral